ACCUUUUGUAUAAUGGGUCAGCGACUUAUAUUCUGUAGCAAGGUUAACCGAAUAGGGGAGCCGAAGGGAAACCGAGUCUUAACUGGGCGUUAAGUUGCAGGGUAUAGACCCGAAACCCGGUGAUCUAGCCAUGGGCAGGUUGAAGGUUGGGUAACACUAACUGGAGGACCGAACCGACUAAUGUUGAAAAAUUAGCGGAUGACUUGUGGCUGGGGGUGAAAGGCCAAUCAAACCGGGAGAUAGCUGGUUCUCCCCGAAAGCUAUUUAGGUAGCGCCUCGUGAAUUCAUCUCCGGGGGUAGAGCACUGUUUCGGCAAGGGGGUCAUCCCGACUUACCAACCCGAUGCAAACUGCGAAUACCGGAGAAUGUUAUCACGGGAGACACACGGCGGGUGCUAACGUCCGUCGUGAAGAGGGAAACAACCCAGACCGCCAGCUAAGGUCCCAAAGUCAUGGUUAAGUGGGAAACGAUGUGGGAAGGCCCAGACAGCCAGGAUGUUGGCUUAGAAGCAGCCAUCAUUUAAAGAAAGCGUAAUAGCUCACUGGUCGAGUCGGCCUGCGCGGAAGAUGUAACGGGGCUAAACCAUGCACCGAAGCUGCGGCAGCGACGCUGAUGCGUUGUUGGGUAGGGGAGCGUUCUGUAAGCCUGCGAAGGUGUGCUGUGAGGCAUGCUGGAGGUAUCAGAAGUGCGAAUGCUGACAUAAGUAACGAUAAAGCGGGUGAAAAGCCCGCUCGCCGGAAGACCAAGGGUUCCUGUCCAACGUUAAUCGGGGCAGGGUGAGUCGACCCCUAAGGCGAGGCCGAAAGGCGUAGUCGAUGGGAAACAGGUUAAUAUUCCUGUACUUGGUGUUACUGCGAAGGGGGGACGGAGAAGGCUAUGUUGGCCGGGCGACGGUUGUCCCGGUUUAAGCGUGUAGGCUGGUUUUCCAGGCAAAUCCGGAAAAUCAAGGCUGAGGCGUGAUGACGAGGCACUACGGUGCUGAAGCAACAAAUGCCCUGCUUCCAGGAAAAGCCUCUAAGCAUCAGGUAACAUCAAAUCGUACCCCAAACCGACACAGGUGGUCAGGUAGAGAAUACCAAGGCGCUUGAGAGAACUCGGGUGAAGGAACUAGGCAAAAUGGUGCCGUAACUUCGGGAGAAGGCACGCUGAUAUGUAGGUGAGGUCCCUCGCGGAUGGAGCUGAAAUCAGUCGAAGAUACCAGCUGGCUGCAACUGUUUAUUAAAAACACAGCACUGUGCAAACACGAAAGUGGACGUAU
RNAcentral lists this ribosomal RNA (1258 nucleotides) under Escherichia coli. RNAcentral's name for it is "partial 23S ribosomal RNA". It matches the Rfam family "Bacterial large subunit ribosomal RNA", at positions 603 to 1846 of the family's 2925-position model. Lineage: Bacteria; Pseudomonadati; Pseudomonadota; Gammaproteobacteria; Enterobacterales; Enterobacteriaceae. The record is from RNAcentral.